RNAcentral lists this ribosomal RNA (748 nucleotides) under Haemophilus influenzae. RNAcentral's name for it is "partial 23S ribosomal RNA". It matches the Rfam family "Bacterial large subunit ribosomal RNA", at positions 2072 to 2819 of the family's 2925-position model. The record is from RNAcentral. Lineage: Bacteria; Pseudomonadati; Pseudomonadota; Gammaproteobacteria; Pasteurellales; Pasteurellaceae.
GCGGCUAGACGGAAAGACCCCGUGAACCUUUACUAUAGCUUGACACUGAACAUUGAAUUUUGAUGUGUAGGAUAGGUGGGAGCCUUUGAAGCAGUGACGCCAGUCAUUGUGGAGGCGACCUUGAAAUACCACCCUUUAACGUUUGAUGUUCUAACGAAGAUGACGAAACGUGGUCUCGGACAGUGUCUGGUGGGUAGUUUGACUGGGGCGGUCUCCUCCCAAAGCGUAACGGAGGAGCACGAAGGUUUGCUAAUCACGGUCGGACAUCGUGAGGUUAGUGCAAUGGUAUAAGCAAGCUUAACUGCGAGACAGACAAGUCGAGCAGGUACGAAAGUAGGUCAUAGUGAUCCGGUGGUUCUGAAUGGAAGGGCCAUCGCUCAACGGAUAAAAGGUACUCCGGGGAUAACAGGCUGAUACCGCCCAAGAGUUCAUAUCGACGGCGGUGUUUGGCACCUCGAUGUCGGCUCAUCACAUCCUGGGGCUGAAGUAGGUCCCAAGGGUAUGGCUGUUCGCCAUUUAAAGUGGUACGCGAGCUGGGUUUAGAACGUCGUGAGACAGUUCGGUCCCUAUCUGCCGUGGGCGUAGGAGAAUUGGUUGGGGCUGCUCCUAGUACGAGAGGACCGGAGUGGACGCACCACUGGUGUUCCGGUUGUGUCGCCAGACGCAUUGCCGGGUAGCUAAGUGCGGAAGAGAUAAGUGCUGAAAGCAUCUAAGCACGAAACUUGCCAAGAGAUGAGUUCUCCCAAUC